GACGAACGCUGGCGGCGUGCUUAACACAUGCAGGUCGAACGGAAAGGCCCUGCUUUUGUGGGGUGCUCGAGUGGCGAACGGGUGAGUAACACGUGAGUAACCUGCCCUUGACUUUGGGAUAACUUCAGGAAACUGGGGCUAAUACCGGAUAGGAGCUCCUGCUGCAUGGUGGGGGUUGGAAAGUUUCGGCGGUUGGGGAUGGACUCGCGGCUUAUCAGCUUGUUGGUGGGGUAGUGGCUUACCAAGGCUUUGACGGGUAGCCGGCCUGAGAGGGUGACCGGCCACAUUGGGACUGAGAUACGGCCCAGACUCCUACGGGAGGCAGCAGUGGGGAAUAUUGCACAAUGGGCGGAAGCCUGAUGCAGCAACGCCGCGUGCGGGAUGACGGACUUCGGGUUGUAAACCGCUUUCGCCUGUGACGAAGCGUGAGUGACGGUAAUGGGUAAAGAAGCACCGGCUAACUACGUG
This 468-nucleotide ribosomal RNA is filed under the name uncultured bacterium. Its description in RNAcentral is "partial 16S ribosomal RNA". It matches the Rfam family "Bacterial small subunit ribosomal RNA", at positions 28 to 507 of the family's 1533-position model. The record is from RNAcentral.